GCCUUNGGGUCUGGUAUAACCCCGGGAAACUGGGGAUAAUUCCGGAUAACGCACAUAUGCUGGAAUGCUUUAUGCGUAAAAUGGAUUCGUCUGCCCAAGGAUGGGUCUGCGGCCUAUCAGGUAGUAGUGGGUGUAAUGUACCUACUAGCCAACAACGGGUACGGGUUGUGAGAGCAAGAGCCCGGAGAUGGAUUCUGAGACAUGAAUCCAGGCCCUACGGGGCGCAGCAGGCGCGAAAACUUUACAAUGCGGGAAACCGUGAUAAGGGACACCGAGUGCCAGCAUCAUAUGCUGGCUGUCCAGGUGUGUAAACUACACCUGUUAGCAAGGGCCGGGCAAGACCGGUGCCAGCCGCCGCGGUAACACCGGCGGCCCGAGUGGUGAUCGUGAUUAUUGGGUCUAAAGGGUCCGUAGCCGGUUUGGUCAGUCCUCCGGGAAAUCUGAUAGCUCAACUAUUAGGCUUUCGGGGGAUACUGCCAGGCUUGGAACCGGGAGAGGUAAGAGGUACUACAGGGGUAGGAGUGAAAUCUUGUAAUCCCUGUGGGACCACCUGUGGCGAAGGCGUCUUACCAGAACGGGUUCGACGGUGAGGGACGAAAGCUGGGGGCACGAACCGGAUUAGAUACCCGGGUAGUCCCAGCCGUAAACGAUGCUCGCUAGGUGUCAGGCAUGGCGCGACCGUGUCUGGUGCCGCAGGGAAGCCGUGAAGCGAGCCA
This 716-nucleotide ribosomal RNA is filed under the name uncultured archaeon S30-6. Its description in RNAcentral is "bacterial SSU rRNA". It matches the Rfam family "Archaeal small subunit ribosomal RNA", at positions 111 to 826 of the family's 1478-position model. The record is from RNAcentral.